RNAcentral lists this long non-coding RNA (188 nucleotides) under Felis catus (domestic cat). RNAcentral's name for it is "lncRNA (ENSFCAG00000049164.1)". The record is from RNAcentral. Lineage: Eukaryota; Metazoa; Chordata; Mammalia; Carnivora; Felidae.
GGAAAUGACCUUAUUAGAGGAGCCUUGGACUAUAUUUUUCGAUCUGACUCAGCUUAGAUACUUCAUGUUAAACUGUGGUGCUACAGAGGAAAACCACAGCAUGGAAUGAGCGCAAAACUAAGUGAUCGUGCAUGGCAAGUACUCAAAAAUAUUCAUGAGUGUGAGUGAAAGGUGAGAAAGCCUUUUUU